This 253-nucleotide ribosomal RNA is filed under the name uncultured bacterium. Its description in RNAcentral is "partial 16S ribosomal RNA". It matches the Rfam family "Bacterial small subunit ribosomal RNA", at positions 524 to 776 of the family's 1533-position model. The record is from RNAcentral.
GACAGAGGUCCCGAGCGUUAGGCGGAAUCACUGGGCUUAAAGCGUGUGUAGGCGGAGUGCUAAGUACCUUGUGAAAUCCCACGGCUCACCCGUGGAACUGCUUGGUAUACUGGUUCUCUUGAGCCACUUAGGGGCGAGCGGAACAAACGGUGGAGCGGUGAAAUGCGUAGAUAUCGUUUGGAACGCCAAUGGUGAAAACAGCUCGCUGGGAGUGUGCUGACGCUGAGACACGAAAGCCAGGGGAGCAAACGGG